CUGCAGAUCUGUUAAUCUUUCAUAUGCGACUAGUCGACUACCCUCAUUUGCGACUCACGAUACAUCUACCCUCGUCAUUCAUCGAUCUGGAUUAAUUUGAUUAGUAAUAGCGUGGUAUACUGAUCGAGGGUGGAUGUAUGAAAAGACCGAUAGUAAUGGAUUUCUUAAUUCUAAAUAUUGUGACAAUGUCGAAUUGUUUUUGGACUUCGCAUUUUCUAAAGAAGAAGUGGUUGAUACGUGGGUGAAUAUGCAUGGUGAGACAACACGUAACAUAAAAUGUCCUUGUUAUAAAUGCCAAAAUAUAAGUUACAGAGACAGAGCCACUGUACAAAAACACUUGUUUAAGGAUGGUUUCAUGCUUCGUUAUGAAAUAUGGAGUGAACAUGGUGAAAAGUCCAGCCACGAUUUUGGACAGUCUUCUACUACAAUGGAGAUUGAUGAUGAUGAUGGUUGCAAACGUAUGGUGUUAGAUAACUUGUGUUCAUGCGAUUAUACUUCAAGUACAUUGGAAGGACGUGUACCGAAUCCAGAAGCAAAAAGAUUCUAUGACAUGUUAGAAGCUGCUGAUGAACCUUUGUGGGAGGGCGAAAAGGCUACAAGUUUUUCAAAGUUACAAGCUGCUACGAAUUUUUUGACAUGGAAAUCACUUUUCAAUGUGUCAACUGCAGCUUACAACUUUUAACAUUUCCAUGAUUAAUGCAAUGUUGCCCGAAAAUAAUAAACUUCCAAAAAACUUUUAUGAUACGAAGAAGAGUUUAGAACCAUUGAGUCUUCCAUACGAGAGAAUUGAUGUUUGCAAAAACCAUUGCAUGAUAUUCUAUAAGCAAGACAAGGCAUUGACACAUUGUAAAUAUUGUAAGGAAUCUCGUUACAAAAGUGUCUUGAAUAAGGUACCUAAUUUGGUGAUGUGGUACAUGCCAAUUGGUCCUAGACUUAAAAGGUUAUAUAUGUCUACAAAAAACGGCCAAAGAUAUGAGUUGGCACCAUGACCACAAAACAAAAGAGGGUAGCAUGGCACAUCCUAGUGACGGCAUGGCUUGGAAGCAUUUUGACUCGGAGAAUCCUGACUUUGCAAAAGAGAUUCGCAAUGUUCGUCUUGGGUUAUGCACUGACGGUUUCAAUCCAAAUAACUCUAACUCAAUUCCUUACUCAUUGUGGCCCGUCUUUCUUACAAUCUAUAACUUACCCCCUUGGAUGAGUAUGAAAGAUUCGUUUGUUGAAGUAAGUUUGAUUAUUCCGGGUGGAAAGAGUCCAGGUCAGAACAUCGAUAUGUUUCUAAGACCCUUAAUAGAUGAGUUGAAAGAGUUGUAUGGAGAAGGCAUUGAAGUUUAUGAUGCUUAUCGUAAAGAAAAUUUCAUUAUGAGAGUUAUUCUUUUGUGGACAGUUAGUGAUUUUCCUGCCUAUGCAAUGUUAUCAGGCUGGAGUACGCAUGGUCGUUUAGCUUGCCCAUAUUGUAUGGGGGACACAAAUGCUUUUUGGUUACAUGCUGGGGGUAAAACUAGUUGGUUCGACUGUCAUCGAAGGUUUCUACCAAUGUCACAUCCUUUUCGUACUGAUAUAGAUGGAUUUCGGAGAUCAACAUCGUCGUUAGUGGGACCUCCACCCGAGUUAACCGGUUGGGAAAUCUUAGAACAAUUUUCUAACAUACCAGUUGUUUAUGAAGGUGUAACGCACCCAAAGCAUAAAGAUCCAAAAUUUGGUAAAACUCAUAAUUGGGUAAAGAAAAGCAUUUUCUGGGAGCUUGAAUAUUGGCCCAUGUUGUUAAUUCGACACAACCUUGAUGUAAUGCAUAUCGAGACAAACGUUUUUGAGAAUCCAUUUCAAAUGGUUAUGGAUACUUCUAAAACAAAAGAUAAUGUCAAGGCAAGGAAGGAUGUGGAACAGUUUUGCAAUCGACCAUCGUUGCAUGUUUCAAGUGGAAAUAAUAAUAAAAUUUUAAAACCAAAAGCAGCAUACACCUUAACCAAAAAGGAGCAUACACCUUAACCAAAAAGGAGGUAAAUGAAGUAUGUAAAUGGUUGAAGCAAGUAAAGUUCCCAGACGGCUAUGCUUCAAAUAUAGGGGGAUGUGUGAACCUAAAGGAUGAUACCUUCUACAACUUUAAAAGUCAUGAUUAUAGAUGGAGAAUUUAGCAAUCAAAUAACGGCUACGCGGAUUAUUGGAGUAACCUAAAGGGUAUGUGGUCCGGUCCAUGGGAAAGUUGGAAAGAUGUUCCUAAUGAGGACAAAAAGCGGUUGUUUGAACGAUUCCAUUGUUAUUUUCAGUGGGAGGAGAAAUGGAAUGGUGAAAUAUGUAGUUGCUGGGAGCGGUGCAUUGCUGGUAAAAUUCCGGAUUUGUUGUGUAGGGUACAAGAUCAAGCUAAAGAAACGACAAGAAGUAAAAAUGUACUAGUCGAAGACGAUAUGUCUGUUCUUACUGAUUUUAAACCACCAUGGAUCAAAACAGAGACAUGGAAACAAAUGAUUGAGAUCUGGAACACACCCGAAUGGAAAGUGAAGUCUAAAAGAAACAAAAAAAAAUCAGAACUGAAUCAAAAGGGGGCAAACAUACCCUCGGGUCACAAACCUAUGUGACUGCCAAAAGAAAAGUGGCUGAGAUAAUUGGGCGUGAACCGUCACACUCAGAGAUGUGGAAACAAACACAUCUCAGAAAAGGAAGUAGGCCGUUUGAUAAAGAUCUUGAUUGUAGCAGUUCGGUAGUUGAGAACGUUGAUUUUGAGGACGUUAACUUGGAGGGCGUUGAAUUAGAAGGGAAUGUACAAGAAAAAAAUCGGCAUGGGUUGACGAUAGGGCACAUGAGACUUUGUUAAAAUAUGAGGGAUAUCUUUUGGAGAAGUAUGGGGAGGAAAGUAGCCAACACCGAGAACUUGACAAAGAAUUGUGGUAGCGAGCUUCUGGGGGGAAAGAAGAGAGGUAAAGUAUAUGGAUUAAGCAAUCUUAAGAAUGAUUUUAACGUUCAGCAUCAUGGCAAACAAGACCAAGAGAUCGAAAGAUUGAACGUGAUUAUUGCGGGAUUGGAGGUGGAAAAAGAGAAUGAUAAGGCGGAGAAAGAGGCUAUGAAUGAAAGGACGGCAAACAUUGAAACGAUGCUAAAAGCUAGGUUUCAAAACGUAUAAUCAUCGACUUAGGUUUCAAAACGUAUAAACACUUUGUUUUGAAUAUGUAUUUUGUUAUGAUAAUUUUGGUAUUUGAUGUUUCAAGUGGGAUCUUUUAUAUAAUUGUGAAAAUUUGAUAAUAUGUAAAAUUUAAAAUUGACAUUA
This is an RNA transcript of Helianthus annuus (common sunflower), 3259 nucleotides long. RefSeq lists it as uncharacterized. The transcript is spliced from 7 exons. The record is from RefSeq and is a predicted model, not a curated record. Lineage: Eukaryota; Viridiplantae; Streptophyta; Magnoliopsida; Asterales; Asteraceae.